Molecule: ribosomal RNA, 254 nt
Filed under: uncultured bacterium
Lineage: Bacteria
Description: partial 16S ribosomal RNA
Rfam family: Bacterial small subunit ribosomal RNA
Source: RNAcentral
CACGUAGGGUGCGAGCGUUGUCCGGAAUUAUUGGGCGUAAAGAGCUCGUAGGCGGUGUGUCGCGUCGGCCGUGAAAACUUGGGGCUUAACUCUGAGCUUGCGGUCGAUACGGGCAUCACUGGAGUUCGGCAGGGGAGACUGGAAUUCCAGGUGUAGCGGUGAAAUGCGUAGAUAUCUGGAGGAACACCGGUGGCGAAGGCGGCGUUCUGGACUGUUACUGACACUGAGGAACGAAAGCCAGGGGAGCAAACGGG